GAUAAACGCUGGCGGCGUGCAUAACACAUGCAAGUCGAACGAUGAAACUUAGAUGAUUUCUUCGGAAUGAACUUAAGUGGAUUAGUGGCGAACGGGUAAGUAACACGUGAGUAACCUGCCUUACACAAGGGGAUAGCCUCUGGAAACGGAGAAUAAUACCCUAUAAAGUCUAAUCAGCACAUGCUGGAAAGACCAAAGAUUUAUCGGUGUAAGAUGGACUUGCGUCUGAUUAGCUAGUAGGUAAGAUAAAAGCUCACCAAGGCGACGAUCAGUAGCCGGCUUGAGAGAGUGUACGGCCACAUUGGGACUGAGACACGGCCCAAACUCCUACGGGAGGCAGCAGUGGGGAAUUUUGCACAAUGGGGGAAACCCUGAUGCAGCGACGCCGCGUGAUUUAGAAGGCCUUCGGGUUGUAAAAAUCUUUUUUACGGGAUGAAAAUGACAGUACCGUAAGAAUAAGGUCCGGCUAAAUACGUGCCAGCAGCCGCGGUAA
RNAcentral lists this ribosomal RNA (493 nucleotides) under uncultured bacterium. RNAcentral describes it as "partial 16S ribosomal RNA". It matches the Rfam family "Bacterial small subunit ribosomal RNA", at positions 28 to 523 of the family's 1533-position model. The record is from RNAcentral.